Molecule: ribosomal RNA, 428 nt
Filed under: Bacteroidota bacterium
Lineage: Bacteria; Pseudomonadati; Bacteroidota
Description: Bacteroidetes bacterium partial 16S ribosomal RNA
Rfam family: Bacterial small subunit ribosomal RNA
Source: RNAcentral
UAGGGAAUCUUCCGCAAUGGACGCAAGUCUGACGGAGCAACGCCGCGUGAGUGAAGAAGGAUUUCGGUUCGUAAAACUCUGUUGUUAGAGAAGAACAGCGCAUAGAGUAACUGUUAUGCGUGUGACGGUAUCUAACCAGAAAGGGACGGCUAACUACGUGCCAGCAGCCGCGGUAAUACGUAGGUCCCGAGCGUUGUCCGGAUUUAUUGGGCGUAAAGCGAGCGCAGGCGGUUAGAUAAGUCUGAAGUUAAAGGCAGUGGCUCAACCAUUGUAGGCUUUGGAAACUGUUUAACUGGAGUGCAGAAGGGGAGAGUGGAAUUCCAUGUGUAGCGGUGAAAUGCGUAGAUAUAUGGAGGAACACCGGUGGCGAAAGCGGCUCUCUGGUCUGUAACUGACGCUGAGGCUCGAAAGCGUGGGGAGCGAACAGG